Molecule: ribosomal RNA, 519 nt
Filed under: uncultured bacterium
Lineage: Bacteria
Description: bacterial SSU rRNA
Rfam family: Bacterial small subunit ribosomal RNA
Source: RNAcentral
AGAGUUUGAUUCUGGCUCAGAACGAACGCUGACGGCGCGUUUAAGCAUGCAAGUCGAGCGGCAAGGGCCUUCGGGCCCCUAGAGCGGCGGACGGGUGAGUAACACGUGGACAAUCUGCCCCCCGGCCCGGAUAGCCCAGGGAAACCUGGAUUAAUACCGGAUGAGACGGGACCCGCGAUGGCGGGACCCGGGAAAGGCGCUGCGGCGCCGCCGGGGGAUGAGUCUGCGUCCCAUUAGCUAGACGGCGGGGUAACGGCCCACCGUGGCGACGAUGGGUAGCCGGCCUGAGAGGGUGGACGGCCACAUUGGAACUGAGACACGGUCCAGACUCCUACGGGAGGCAGCAGCUAAGAAUCUUCCGCAAUGGGCGAAAGCCUGACGGAAGCGACGCCGCGUGAACGAAGAAGGCCGUGAGGUUGUAAAGUUCUUUUCGGGAGGGGGAACAACCGUGGCAGGGAAUGGCCGCGGGAUGACGUGAAUCCCGGAAUAAGCCCCGGCUAACUACGUGCCAGCCGCGGC